GGGGAUGAACGGCUUUGAUGGAGAAGAUUCUCAAGGUGUGCAAGGAGAGCACGCGCGUACGCUCUAAAAUCUUCGCGCAAAGAGAUACAUGCCAAAAACGUAUUCUCAACAGUAGCGAGCGCGUUUCGCGCUCCUGCUUUUGCCCGCGCCUAAUAACGCUGGGCACAUCAGUCCUUGACUCCUCUAAAGGGUUGCUGGUGUAAUAAGAGGAUAGGUAUCACAUUAUGUGCCACGAUGUGAUUUCCGAAUCUUGGCAGGUACUCGGCAGAAUAUUGUUUGUACACUUCGAUUUCUGCUUAAAACCAAAAGAGUACUAACCUUGUAGUGCAUCAAGAGUUCACUAUUUCCAGACAGGGGUUCGAUACCCCUCAUCUCCACCA
RNAcentral lists this transfer-messenger RNA (380 nucleotides) under Patescibacteria group. RNAcentral's name for it is "MGDU01 sp001790815 Standard tmRNA". It matches the Rfam family "transfer-messenger RNA". Rfam says of the family: Bacterial tmRNA, also known as 10Sa RNA or SsrA, is named for its dual tRNA and mRNA-like properties. Its role is to liberate the mRNA from a stalled ribosome. The record is from RNAcentral. RNAcentral also lists the same sequence under 6 other names.